Molecule: ribosomal RNA, 400 nt
Filed under: uncultured archaeon
Lineage: Archaea
Description: bacterial SSU rRNA
Rfam family: Archaeal small subunit ribosomal RNA
Source: RNAcentral
AGAGGUUACUGCUAUCGAGGUUCGACUAAGCCAUGCGAGUCGAAUGUAGCAAUACAUGGCGUACUGCUCAGUAACACGUGGACAACCUACCCUCCGGACGGGUAUAAACCCGGGAAACUGGGUAUAAUCCCCGAUAGAUCUCGGUCGCUGGAAUGCCCCGAGAUCGAAAGCUCCGGCGCCAGAGGAUGGGUCUGCGGCCUAUCAGGUAGUAGUGGGUGUAGCGUACCUACUAGCCUACGACGGGUACGGGUUGUGAGAGCAAGAGCCCGGAGAUGGAUUCUGAGACACGAAUCCAGGCCCUACGGGGUGCAGCAGGCGCGAAAACUUUACAAUGCCGGCAACGGCGAUAAGGGGACCUCGAGUGCCAGGUUACAAAUCUGGCUGUCGUGAUGCCUAAAAA